UUGAAAUUAGGAUUAGAUACCCUAUUAUUGAAAAUGUAAAUAUAAAUGCCCGAGUAGUGUUAGUUUUGGUCUUGUAAUUCAAAGAGUUUGGCGGUAUUUCAGUCUAUUUAGAGGAACCUGUCCUAUAAUUGAUGAUACUCCAGUAAUUUCACUUUUUUUAAAGGUGUUUAUAUCUUCGUCGGUUGAUUGUCUUAAAAGAGUUAGGAAAAUUCAGGAUUCAUUUAACUAUAAAGAAAAUCAGAUCAAGAUACAGCAAUAAAUAAGAAGAGGAUGGGUUACAAUAAAUCUAUUUAUAUGGUUAAAAUACUGAACAGUAUUUUAUAAAGCGGAUUCCAUAGUAAUAUAAUUAAGUUAAAUCAUAUGAUUUAGCUCCCCCAAUAUACACAUCUCGGCCCCGGCUUCCCG
RNAcentral lists this ribosomal RNA (405 nucleotides) under Protaetia brevitarsis. RNAcentral describes it as "partial 12S ribosomal RNA". The record is from RNAcentral. Lineage: Eukaryota; Metazoa; Arthropoda; Insecta; Coleoptera; Scarabaeidae.